Molecule: ribosomal RNA, 468 nt
Filed under: uncultured Desulfobulbus sp.
Lineage: Bacteria; Pseudomonadati; Thermodesulfobacteriota; Desulfobulbia; Desulfobulbales; Desulfobulbaceae
Description: bacterial SSU rRNA
Rfam family: Bacterial small subunit ribosomal RNA
Source: RNAcentral
CCCGGCACAAGCGGUGGAGUAUGUGGUUUAAUUCGAUGCAACGCGAAGAACCUUACCUGGUCUUGACAUCCCGGAGACCCUUAGGAAACUAGGGGUGCUUCCAUCUGGAAGAAUCUGGAGACAGGUGCUGCAUGGCUGUCGUCAGCUCGUGUCGUGAGAUGUUGGGUUAAGUCCCGCAACGAGCGCAACCCUUGCCUUUAGUUGCCAGCAGUUCGGCUGGGCACUCUAAAGGGACUGCCGGUGUUAAACCGGAGGAAGGUGGGGAUGACGUCAAGUCCUCAUGGCCUUUAUGACCAGGGCUACACACGUACUACAAUGGCCGAUACAAAGGGCAGCGACACUGCGAGGUGAAGCCAAUCCCGUAAAAUCGGUCUCAGUCCGGAUUGGAGUCUGCAACUCGACUCCAUGAAGUUGGAAUCGUUAGUAAUCGUGGAUCAGCAUGCCACGGUGAAUACGUUCCCGGGCCUU